AUGAAUAUACGGGGAGAGAACGCGCCAGUCGCGUCGCCGAAGGAGCAAGUAGAAGCUACGAAUCUCUCAGGUAAAAAAGACUCGUAUAGGACG
RNAcentral lists this non-coding RNA (93 nucleotides) under Paenisporosarcina sp. HGH0030. RNAcentral describes it as "Glycine riboswitch aptamer". It matches the Rfam family "Glycine riboswitch aptamer". Rfam says of the family: This family represents the bacterial glycine riboswitch. Glycine riboswitches usually consist of two metabolite-binding aptamers domains with similar structures in tandem. RNAcentral also lists the same sequence under 1 other name. The record is from Rfam by way of RNAcentral. Lineage: Bacteria; Bacillati; Bacillota; Bacilli; Caryophanales; Caryophanaceae.